Non-coding RNA from Podarcis lilfordi (Lilford's wall lizard), 4003 nucleotides. NCBI's taxonomy places the organism in Eukaryota, Metazoa, Chordata, Lepidosauria, Squamata, Lacertidae. The record is from the annotation of a GenBank genome assembly.
AAUGCCCCAGGCAGUCUGUGGGAACUGUCCCUCAAGUCCCUUCAGGCAUCGAAACAAACCACUGAAUUAUUACAGGGCAGGGGACCAUGUCAUUGGCGGAAUCAUCUCACCCAAACCUGCUUUCUUUGAACCAUACAUCUUUUCUAAGCCCCCAUCAACAAAGCUUGUUGAGUAAGUAACUGUAUGUUUCAGAUGGAUCUAAUGUUGCCCUAUUGACACUCUGGAUGCUCCCAGAUAUACAAAGUUUAGGCAAUGUUGAAAUUAGAUCAAGUCUUUAUUGAACAUUACAGUGGUACCUCGGGUUACAGACACCUCAGGUUACAGAUGCUUCAGGUUACAGACUCCGCUAACUCAGAAAUAGUACCUCGGGUUAAGAACUUUGCUUCAGGAUGAGAACAGAAAUCACUCGGUGGUGGCGCGGCCCAUUAGCUAAAGUUGUACCUCAGGUUAAGAACAGUUUCAGGUUAAGAACGGACCUCCAGAAUGAAUUCAGUUCUUAACCCAAGGUACCACUGUAUUUCUGAUUUAUUAAUGAAACAGUCAUGUGACAAUAAGUGUUGCUUCUGCAUUCAUCUCCAUUAACGUGGGGUAUUUAGACACCUUCACAUUGGUCCUUUGUUCAUCCAAUGUGUUCCAAUGCCUUCUGCUGUCACCUUCCAGAAUGCAAAGAGUCCAUUUCUUUUUAAGAAUGUGGAUUUGUUGUGGCAGGGCAACAGGGUCCUUUAAUCCAUUUCAAUUGCACAAACCCGAAGUUCUCAAAUCCCACCAGCCAUAUAGUGACAGUCCACAACAGAGUUUCUCUCAGUGCUUAUUGUAACUUUCAGGGGGUUAGCUAAAAGUAUUUUCUGCUGCAAAAUCAGAGCAUCCUUUCAUCAGCUUUCAAGCCUUUCACAAAACUUGAAAAUGUAUUUUGAUUUUGUUAUUUGAAGACUGUGGACUUUUCAUCAUGAAAAAUAACCUUUCAAUUUUCCUCUGAAUUGGUGAGUUAAGAUCUGCUUUGCAACAAGGGAAGGUCUCCCACCUUCAGUAAAAACAUUACAAAGCAUUUUUUUGGGUGGGGGGAGGAGAUGUUGCCCAGAAAAGUCCUUUGAUUAAUAAAAAUAAAGAAUUUGCCAUUCUCUUUUCAUUGAAUGGAGAAUGGCGUCCUGGUCAUAACUGUUGUGUUUGCUGGUUUGCAGUUUGGCUCCAAUGAUGUAUUGGCACAUUCUGUCCUUCUUGUUUGCUGUUCAGGAGAUGAAUCAGGAUACCCAACAUCACCCUAGGCUACAGCCUCUUUGAAACCUAUUUUAAUGGCAGACUGGUUUCCAAUGCAAUGCUAGACAUGCAUUCUGGUGGGGAAAGCCAUCUUUCUUCCAAACUAUAACUGCGGAUGGCGGAAGAACCUCUUGGCUGUUUUUGAAAGGGCUGAACCUGACAACUCCAUCCAGAUUUCAAGCAUGUUGGGCAUGUACAAAAUCCCACAGGUAAUAAUAAUAAUAAUAAUUUUUAUUUAUACCCCGCCCUCCCCAGCCAAGGCUGGGCUCAGGGCGGCUUACAAGCAAUAAUAAAAACAAGCUGAAUGAUUACAACUUAAAAACAAAAUUAAAUACAACAUUAAAAUAUUGAAACAUUAAAAUAUUAAAAUGUAGCCUCAUCGCAGGAGGAGAAGGAAAAGAAAAAGAAAGAGGGGAGGGAAUCAAAUUGGCUCCAAGCCAAAGGCCAGGCGGAACAACUCUGUCUUACAGGCCCUGCGGAAAGAAAUCAGAUCCUGCAGGGCCCUGGUCUCAUGAGGCAGAGCGUUCCACCAGGCCGGAGCCAGAGUUGAAAAGGCCCUGGCUCUGGUUGAAGCUAAUCUAACUUCCUUAGGGCCCGGGACCACUAGGGUGUUGCUAUUUAUGGACCUUGAGGCUCUCCGUGGGGCAUACCAGGAGAGGCGGUCCCGUAGGUAUGAGGGUCCUAGGCCGUGAAGGGCUUUAAAGGUCAAAAGCAGCACCUUAAAUCUGACCCUGUACUUCACCAGGAGCCAGUGCAGCUUGAAAAGCACUGGGUGAAUAUGCUCCCACGGCAGAGACCCCGUGAGGAGCCUCGCUGCAGCAUUCUGCACCCGCUGGAGUUUCUGUGACAGCUUCAAGGGCAGCCCCGCGUAGAGCGAAUUACAGUAGUCAAGCCUGGAGGUGACCGUCGCAUGGAUCACUGUGGCCAGGUCGGGGAGGUAGGGACUGGAAUGCCUCCCUGUCAAAUAUACUACAGUUUAUGGAUUGCCAGUAUGUGCAGGGGAUUAGACUACAUGACCACGUAGCUCUCUCCCAACUCUGCCAUUCACUUUUUAGGAAAGGAUGGUCCAAAAAGACCUACAAUAAGGUGAAUCUAGCCUGAGAUUCCCCAGAAACAUCAGAAGCACAGAGGGGCUUGAUCACAUCAAAGGACCAGUUAGCCCAGCAUCUUGUUUUCAGGUGAGCUCACCUGAUGCCUCUUCUGGAAAGCCUGCAAUCAGGACGCUCUUCACAAUUUUGCUUCACAGCAGCUGGCAUUCAGAGGCUUCCUGCCUCUGAAAGUGGAGGGAAAAUGUGUUCGUUGUGGGUAGAAAAGAUUGAAUGCCUUAUCCUACCUGAAUUUAUCUUAUCCUUUUUGAAAACCAUCAGAGUUGGUGAAAAUCACUACAGUUUGUGGGGGCCGCAAAGAAAAUGUCAAGAAAGCUUCAAUCUAGUUUAUACUAACAUGGUACAAUUUGUUUGACAUUACAAUGGUUACUAUUUGUUAUAUUUGGUGGUUACAAUAGUCAUUACUGACUUUUCCAGUUUAUAAUGAAAAAUCUAUCUUUUAAAAAUGUAUUAAUGGAACUUUUUGCACCACUUAGUGCAGCGUAUUGAUAAAUCUAAUUACAGGCACCAUUUCACCAUCCAUUCACUAUGCUAGUUUAUUGUGUGUUUUUAUAAUUAGGUUCAAGACAAUCUCAAAAAGUGAGGUUUCUCCUAAGCAUCCAAAACACAUCUUUAUAUAUCACUAGGGGUGUGUGUGUGUGUGUGUGUGUGUGUGUGUGUGUCUGCCUGCCUGCGUGUGUGUGUGUGUGUGUGUGUGUGUAUACACCCCCCACAGCCUAGUAUUCUUACAAUAUAUACAUAUUUUGUCACAUAGCUAUAUAUUUCUCCACAACCUAAUAUUCUGAAGAAAGAGAAUAUCUGGACCUAAAUCAGCCUCUACUCUUCCUCAGCAGGUCAGCUAUGGCUCUUCUCAUAGUGAUAAAACUCAGUUCCCUUUUGUCUACCAGAUGAUCCCCAAGGAAGAAAUCCAGUACCUGGGGGUUGUCAAGUUGCUCCUGCAUUUUGGAUGGACACGGAUUGGUCUCUUUGCUUCAGACAAUGACAGUGGAGAAAGGUUUUUGAAUGCUGUGAGACCUCUGAUGAUGGGUAGAGGAAUCUGUGUUGCCUUCUCCGAAAGAGUGGAACGUGAGACUCUAUAUGCAGAGUUCAUGGAGAGGAAGCCAACUGUCAUGUGGAUAAAAGUCACUGUAUUUGUCUUCUGCGGGGACUGUCGCUAUGAAUUUACUCCAAUAUUUGUGAUACAAGAAAUUCUUGAAAAGAUACAAACUGGGGGGAAAGUUUGGAUUACAACAGCUUUUCAAGACAUCUUCAGGCUUUUGCACUACGAAAUUAAGCACUUUAUGUACACCCAUGGUUCUUUGUCCUUCACAAUGAAGACCAGAAGAUGGACAAAACAUGACUACUUUGAGCCAUGGUCUGAAAGGACAAUACAAUUUUGGGAUGAAUCAUUUCACUGUUUAUGUUCCAAGGAUGUCUUGCCCAUGAAACAAUGGAUAAGGUGCACAGAGAAAGAGAAACUGGAGAUUCUUCUCCAGGAGGAGAUUGAAAGGGUCCUGUCUCAAAACAGCUAUAUUACUUACAACAGCGUCCAAGCUGUGGCACUUGCCUUAAAUUCUGCCUAUUCUUCCAGAUCCAAACAGAUGCUGAUGAUGGGUAGAGGAGACAAUUGGGGACAUGGAAGACUGAAGCCAUGGCAGGUACAC